CCGGUGGGUCGGGUGAUCGAUCCGUUCGCCCUAGGGCGGGCGGGUAGGAAAGUCCGAACUGGAAAGGGCACGGUGGUCGGUAACGCCGACCGGGCGACCCGUCGCUUCGCGCAGCGGGGAAGCCCAGGGAAAGUGCCACAGAAACGACACCGCCAAUGGCCCGCUUCGGCGGGCACAGGUAAGGGUGAAAUGGUGCGGCAAGAGCGCACCGCGCGGGUGGUGACAUCCGCGGCAGGGUAAACCCCACCGCCAGCAAGCCCAUGUAGGCGGCCAGCCUCGCCCUCGGGCGAGCGCGAUGUGGCCCGCAUCGUUCGAGCCGCGGGUAGGGUGCUCGAGCCGUCGAGCAAUCGUCGGCCCAGAUGAAUGAUCGCCCUCCGCCUAUUCGGCGGAGACAGAAUUCGGCUUACAGACCCGCCGGGCCG
Molecule: RNase P RNA, 422 nt
Filed under: Phycisphaerales bacterium
Lineage: Bacteria; Pseudomonadati; Planctomycetota; Phycisphaerae; Phycisphaerales
Description: RNase P RNA component class A
Rfam family: Bacterial RNase P class A
About the family: Ribonuclease P (RNase P) is a ubiquitous endoribonuclease, found in archaea, bacteria and eukarya as well as chloroplasts and mitochondria. Its best characterised activity is the generation of mature 5'-ends of tRNAs by cleaving the 5'-leader elements of precursor-tRNAs.
Source: RNAcentral